UACGGGUGAGGCAAGCGUUGUUCGGAAUCACUGGGCUUAAAGCGCGUGUAGGCGGCGCGGUCAGUACCUUGUGAAAGCCCUUCUCUCAAAGGAGGAAUUGCUGGGUAUACUGCCGUGCUUGAGGCAGAUAGGGGUGCUUGGAACUCUAGGUGGAGCGGUGAAAUGCGUAGAUAUCUAGAGGAACGCCAGUGGCGAAAGCGGAGCACUAGGCCUGUCCUGACGCUGAGACGCGAAAGCGUGGGUAGCAAACGGG
RNAcentral lists this ribosomal RNA (253 nucleotides) under uncultured bacterium. Its description in RNAcentral is "partial 16S ribosomal RNA". It matches the Rfam family "Bacterial small subunit ribosomal RNA", at positions 524 to 776 of the family's 1533-position model. The record is from RNAcentral.